Molecule: ribosomal RNA, 496 nt
Filed under: uncultured bacterium
Lineage: Bacteria
Description: partial 16S ribosomal RNA
Rfam family: Bacterial small subunit ribosomal RNA
Source: RNAcentral
GAUGAACGCUGGCGGCGUGCCUAAUACAUGCAAGUCGAGCGAACGGACGAGAAGCUUGCUUCUCUGAUGUUAGCGGCGGACGGGUGAGUAACACGUGGAUAACCUACCUAUAAGACUGGGAUAACUUCGGGAAACCGGAGCUAUACCGGAUAAUAUUUUGAACCGCAUGGUUCAAAAGUGAAAGACGGUCUUGCUGUCACUUAUAGAUGGAUCCGCGCUGCAUUAGCUAGUUGGUAAGGUAACGGCUUACCAAGGCAACGAUGCAUAGCCGCCCUGAGAGGGUGAUCGGCCACACUGGAACUGAGACACGGUCCAGACUCCUACGGGAGGCAGCAGUAGGGAAUCUUCCGCAAUGGGCGAAAGCCUGACGGAGCAACGCCGCGUGAGUGAUGAAGGUCUUCGGAUCGUAAAACUCUGUUAUUAGGGAAGAACAUAUGUGUAAGUAACUGUGCACAUCUUGACGGUACCUAAUCAGAAAGCCACGGCUAACUACGUG